Molecule: ribosomal RNA, 95 nt
Filed under: uncultured bacterium
Lineage: Bacteria
Description: partial 16S ribosomal RNA
Rfam family: Bacterial small subunit ribosomal RNA
Source: RNAcentral
CCGCGUGGAGGAUGAAGCCCUUCGGGGUGGUAACUCCUUUCGAUCGGGACGGAUGAUGACGGUACCGGAUGAAGAAGCACCGGCUAACUCUGUGC